RNAcentral lists this ribosomal RNA (461 nucleotides) under Fusarium sp. RNAcentral describes it as "eukaryotic LSU rRNA". The stretch from base 98 to 251 matches the Rfam family "5.8S ribosomal RNA". Lineage: Eukaryota; Fungi; Ascomycota; Sordariomycetes; Hypocreales; Nectriaceae. The record is from RNAcentral.
AUCAGCCCGCGCCCUGUAAAACGGGACGGCCCGCCAGAGGACCCAAACUCUAAUGUUUCUUAUUGUAACUUCUGAGUAAAACAAACAAAUAAAUCAAAACUUUCAACAACGGAUCUCUUGGUUCUGGCAUCGAUGAAGAACGCAGCAAAAUGCGAUAAGUAAUGUGAAUUGCAGAAUUCAGUGAAUCAUCGAAUCUUUGAACGCACAUUGCGCCCGCUGGUAUUCCGGCGGGCAUGCCUGUUCGAGCGUCAUUUCAACCCUCAAGCCCCCGGGUUUGGUGUUGGGGAUCGGCUCUGCCUUACGGCGGUGCCGCCCCCGAAAUACAUUGGCGGUCUCGCUGCAGCCUCCAUUGCGUAGUAGCUAACACCUCGCAACUGGAACGCGGCGCGGCCAUGCCGUAAAACCCCAACUUCUGAAUGUUGACCUCGGAUCAGGUAGGAAUACCCGCUGAACUUAAGCAU